AUAUUAUUUUCAAGAAAAAAAUUGGAAAAUUCUUCAUAUUUUAAAAAAAUGAGUAAAUUUUUAUAAAAUAUAGAUUCAAAAAAAUAAACUUUAUUUUUAAAAGGAAAAAAAGAGAUUUUUUAAAAAAAUCAGUAACAUUUCAUAAAACUUUAAUUUUUUUUAAAUCUAUAUUUUAUGAAACUUUACUCAUUUUAUGGAAAAAAAAUUAAAGUUUCUAAUAAUGCAUCAACUCUUAAGUGAUUGAUAAGAUAUUUUAAUGUCGUCUCAAUGAUGUAUUUAUUGGGUUUUCUCUCUUAUGUGUGUAAACCAAAUAAUAGUCCAUAUAAUCUUUGACUUGUAUAGAUGAUAUAUAUAUAAUAUAGAUUUUUAAGACAAAAAGAAAUAUAUCUUAUUCCCAUUGAAAAUUCUAGCACUACUUUUCUACUAAACGAUAGGGAAUUCAUUCGUAGUCCAAUCGAGUUGAUUUUUAGUUAGUGAUUUUGUAUCUUAAUCUUCAAUUUAAACAGUGUGAUUGAGUAUUAUAGUUUCCUAACAUUAGUUUUUGUACGUAUUUAUAAUUGUUGGUAAGAUUAUUUAUCAAUUAUGCCUGUAAUUUUAUUUACUUUGUUGAUAGUAGAAGAUUUGUUAGACAACGAUCAUAUGAUUUUUAUUCAUCCCAUCAAGGGAGUUUUUAAGUUAAUAUUGGAUUUUGUUAUUGUUUGUGAUGGUUCUCUAAUUUUUCAUAUUAUUAAUUGCUUGAAUUAUUGUUUCUUAUUAGGUUUAUACAGGAUGAAAAAAUUAUAUUGUUUCAUAUUAAUAUUGUUUGGACAGCUACUUCUCCGAUCCCAACAGCAUGAUAUCCACCAACCUUCAAGUGAUUAAUUGACAAUAAUUUCUAAGCAACUCACUAUAAACAGUGGUACACCAAACAAAUAAAAACUUUUGUACAAAAAAGGACUAUUGAUGUAGGUAAAAAUAAUUUUCAAUUAAAAAAUGAGUCAAUAAAGAAUGUAAAUAACUUAAUAAGGCUAAAAUAAACAAAAAGAAUAGAAAUUCUCCUAACUUCUUUCUUUUUUGGUAUAAAAAAACAGAAAAAUAAUAAUAAUUCAACUACUUGAAUAUUCUAUAUUAUUAAGCUACGUACCUUCACUUUUAGUCCAACCAUCAAUGCUACUAAAAGAUAAAUUCAGACUUUGCAACUCUUUAAAUGGAAGAAAAAAAAGAGAGAUUCAGUGACCAUGAGUUCCUGCUGAAGACGCCGUAGCGGUACAUUUUACCAAGAGAUAUUUUUAUCACGUGUCCGGUAGUGUGGUUGUACGUGACUCGUGACCACUCACAACACUUAUUUUUUCCCUCAAUAUCAACCAAAUCAGAAAGAAGAAACUCAAACUCAUUAUUGAUAAUAGAAGACUAAUUCAUGAAUCCCAUGAUCUCCUUCAAUUCCAACAAGCCUUUCCUUUCCUCUUCAAAACAACCUUUGUGUCCACUGAUAUGACUAACCAAAUUAAUGAAAAAAGACAAUACAAAAUUUCUCUUUAAAGGUUGCUCCAUUUUUUCAAUUUAUUUGCUUGAUGAAGAUUCCCCUCCCGGCUCUUAUUUAAUAUAAGCAAAGCAACCCACCCAAAGGGCCAGAAAUGGAAAAAAGAAAAAAAAAAGAAAAAAAAG
RNAcentral lists this long non-coding RNA (1644 nucleotides) under Panax ginseng (ginseng). RNAcentral describes it as "long non-coding RNA (PGIN_LNC008340)". The record is from RNAcentral. Lineage: Eukaryota; Viridiplantae; Streptophyta; Magnoliopsida; Apiales; Araliaceae.